RNAcentral lists this transfer RNA (69 nucleotides) under Phyllidiopsis krempfi. RNAcentral's name for it is "tRNA-Asp". The record is from RNAcentral. Lineage: Eukaryota; Metazoa; Mollusca; Gastropoda; Nudibranchia; Phyllidiidae.
UUUGUCUUAGUUUUAAAAAAAAUGUAAGCUUGUCAAGCUUUAGAUGCAACAAUAAUAUUGCAGUCAAAU